This 429-nucleotide ribosomal RNA is filed under the name Pseudomonadota bacterium. RNAcentral's name for it is "Proteobacteria bacterium partial 16S ribosomal RNA". It matches the Rfam family "Bacterial small subunit ribosomal RNA", at positions 355 to 776 of the family's 1533-position model. Lineage: Bacteria; Pseudomonadati; Pseudomonadota. The record is from RNAcentral.
UGGGGAAUAUUGGACAAUGGGCGAAAGCCUGAUCCAGCCAUGCCGCGUGUGUGAAGAAGGUCUUCGGAUUGUACAGCACUUUAAGUUGGGAGGAAGGGCAGUAAGCGAAUACCUUGCUGUUUUGACGUUACCGACAGAAUAAGCACCGGCUAACUCUGUGCCAGCAGCCGCGGUAAUACAGAGGGUGCAAGCGUUAAUCGGAAUUACUGGGCGUAAAGCGCGCGUAGGUGGUUCGUUAAGUUGACUGUGAAAGCCCCGAGCUCAAACUGGGGACUGCAUCCAAAACUAGCGAGCUGGGGUAGGGCGGAGGGUGGUGGAAUUUCCUGUGUAGCGGUGAAAUGCGUAGAUAUAGGAAGGAACACCAGUGGCGAAGGCGACCACCUGGGCUCAUACUGACACUGAGGUGCGAAAGCGUGGGGAGCAAACAAG